AGGUUGGCUUAGAAGCAGCCAUCCUUUAAAGAAAGCGUAACAGCUCACUGGUCUAGUGAUUCUGCGCGGAAAAUAUAACGGGGCUAAGAUGUACACCGAAGCUUUAGAUUCAAUUUUUAAUUGAGUGGUAGGAGAGCGUUCUAUUCAGCGUUGAAGGUAUACCGGUAAGGAGUGCUGGAGCGGAUAGAAGUGAGCAUGCAGGCAUGAGUAGCGAUAAUUAAGGUGAGAAUCCUUAACGCCGAAAACCCAAGGUUUCCUACGCGAUGCUCGUCAUCGUAGGGUUAGUCGGGUCCUAAGUCGAGACUGAAAAGUGUAGACGAUGGCAAAUUGGUUAAUAUUCCAAUACCAACAUAUAAGCGCGAUGUGGGGACGCAUAGAGUUAAUCGAGCUCACUGAUGGAAUAGUGGGUCGAAGGACGUAGGUUGUUAAGUAGGCAAAUCCGCUUAACGUUAGACCGAGAUCUUACAGGCUCUUGACACUCUUCGGAGGAGAUGGAGAAUCGAUGAUACUGUCGUGCCAAGAAAAGCCACUAAGUAUAUUGUAUGUUGCCCGUACCGUAAACCGACACAGGUGGGUGGGAUGAGUAUUCUAAGGCGCGUGGAAGAACCCUGGUUAAGGAACUCUGCAAACUAGCACCGUAUCUUCGGUAUAAGGUGUGCCUACUUUGGUAUAUGGACUUGCUCCAAAAAGCUAAAGAGGUUGCAACAAAGAGUCCCUCCCGACUGUUUACCAAAAACACAGCACUUUGCUAACACGUAAGUGGAUGUAUAAGGUGUGACGCCUGCCCGGUGCUCGAAGGUUAACUGAUGAUGUCAGCGCAAGCGAAGCAUUUGAUUGAAGCCCGAGUAAACGGCGGCCGUAACUAUAACGGUCCUAAGGUAGCGAAAUUCCUUGUCGGUUAAAUACCGACCUGCAUGAAUGGCGUAACGAGAUGGGAGCUGUCUCAACCAGGGAUCCAGUGAAAUUGUAGUGGAGGUGAAAAUUCCUCCUACCCGCGGAAAGACGGAAAGACCCCGUGCACCUUUACUACAGCUUGACACUGUAGCUUGGAUAUUCAUGUGCAGGAUAGGUGGGAGGCUAUGAUGACUAGACGCAAGUAGAGUCGGAGCCAUCCUUGAGAUACCACCCUUGAAUAUUUGAGUUACUAACUGCGUACAAUUAUCUUGUAUCAGGACAAUGUCUGGUGGGUAGUUUGACUGGGGCGGUCGCCUCCUAAAAAGUAACGGAGGCUUACAAAGGUUAGUUCAAAGCGGUUGGAAAUCGCUUGUUGAGUAUAAUGGCAUAAACUAGCUUGACUGUGAGACAUACAAGUCGAACAGAGACGAAAGUCGGUCAUAGUGAUCCGGUGGUUCUGUGUGGAAGGGCCAUCGCUCAAAGGAUAAAAGGUACGCCGGGGAUAACAGGCUGAUCUCCCCCAAGAGCUCACAUCGACGGGGAGGUUUGGCACCUCGAUGUCGGCUCAUCGCAUCCUGGGGCU
RNAcentral lists this ribosomal RNA (1477 nucleotides) under wastewater metagenome. RNAcentral describes it as "bacterial LSU rRNA". It matches the Rfam family "Bacterial large subunit ribosomal RNA", at positions 1098 to 2554 of the family's 2925-position model. The record is from RNAcentral.